RNAcentral lists this transfer RNA (77 nucleotides) under Candidatus Saccharibacteria bacterium QS_5_54_17. Its description in RNAcentral is "tRNA-Arg". It matches the Rfam family "tRNA". Rfam says of the family: Transfer RNA (tRNA) molecules are approximately 80 nucleotides in length. Their secondary structure includes four short double-helical elements and three loops (D, anti-codon, and T loops). Lineage: Bacteria; Candidatus Saccharimonadota. The record is from RNAcentral. RNAcentral also lists the same sequence under 1 other name.
GCUCCCUUAGCUCAGUUGGACAGAGCGUCGGCUUGCGGAGCCGAAGGUCGGAGGUUCGAGUCCUCCAGGGAGCACCA